This 507-nucleotide ribosomal RNA is filed under the name Rhodotorula glutinis. RNAcentral describes it as "eukaryotic LSU rRNA". It matches the Rfam family "Eukaryotic large subunit ribosomal RNA", at positions 147 to 666 of the family's 3401-position model. The record is from RNAcentral. Lineage: Eukaryota; Fungi; Basidiomycota; Microbotryomycetes; Sporidiobolales; Sporidiobolaceae.
AAUCUCUAGAAGUGUUUUCCGCGUUGGACCGCACACAAGUCUGUUGGAAUACAGCGGCAUAGUGGUGAAACCCCCGUAUAUGGUGCGGACGCCCAGCGCUUUGUGAUACACUUUCAAUGAGUCGAGUUGUUUGGGAAUGCAGCUCAAAUUGGGUGGUAAAUUCCAUCUAAAGCUAAAUAUUGGCGAGAGACCGAUAGCGAACAAGUACCGUGAGGGAAAGAUGAAAAGCACUUUGGAAAGAGAGUUAACAGUACGUGAAAUUGUUGGAAGGGAAACGCUUGAAGUCAGACUUGCUUGCCGGAGCUUGCUUCGGUUUGCAGGCCAGCAUCAGUUUUCCGGGGUGGAUAAUAACGGUUUGAAGGUAGCAGUCUCGGCUGUGUUAUAGCUUUCCGUUGGAUACAUCCUGGGGGACUGAGGAACGCAGCGUGCUUUUUGCGAAAGACUCGUCUUUUUCACGCUUAGGAUGCUGGUGGAAUGGCUUUAAACGACCCGUCUUGAAACACGGAC